GGGGAAUCUUAGACAAUGGGGGCAACCCUGAUCUAGCCAUGCCGCGUGAGUGAAGAAGGCCUUAGGGUUGUAAAGCUCUUUCACCUGUGAGGAUGAUGACAGUAGCAGGAUAAGAAGGACCGGCUAACUCCGUGCCAGCAGCCGCGGUAAGACGGAGGGUCCUAGCGUUGUUCGGAAUGACUGGGCGUAAAGGGUACGUAGGCGGUUUGGUCAGUUAGAUGUGAAAGCCCAGGGCUUAACCUUGGAAUUGCAUUUAAUACUGCCAGACUUGAGAUCGGAAGAGGAAAGCGGAAUUUCUAGUGUAGAGGUGAAAUUCGUAGAUAUUAGAAGGAACAUCAGAGGCGAAGGCG
Molecule: ribosomal RNA, 350 nt
Filed under: uncultured bacterium
Lineage: Bacteria
Description: bacterial SSU rRNA
Rfam family: Bacterial small subunit ribosomal RNA
Source: RNAcentral